RNAcentral lists this ribosomal RNA (771 nucleotides) under uncultured bacterium. Its description in RNAcentral is "SSU rRNA". It matches the Rfam family "Bacterial small subunit ribosomal RNA", at positions 71 to 853 of the family's 1533-position model. The record is from RNAcentral.
GCUGUAUGUUUUCAUGUGGUGGAUUAGUGGCGAACGGGUGAGUAACACGUGGGUGAUCUGCCCUGCACUUUGGGAUAAGCUUGGGAAACUGGGUCUAAUACCGGAUAGGACUGCUUCUUUGAUGGGGUGGUGGAAAGCUUUUGCGGUGUGGGAUGAGCUUGCGGCCUAUCAGCUUGUUGGUGGGGUAAUGGCCUACCAAGGCGGCGACGGGUAUCCGGCCUGAGAGGGUGUUCGGACACAUUGGGACUGAGAUACGGCCCAGACUCUUACGGGAGGCAGCAGUGGGGAAUUUUGCACAAUGGGCGCAAGCCUGAUGCAGCGACGCCGCGUGGGGGAUGAAGGCCUUCGGGUUGUAAACUCCUUUCGCCAGGGACGAAGCGUUUUGUGACGGUACCUGGAUAAGAAGCACCGGCUAACUACGUGCCAGCAGCCGCGGUAAUACGUAGGGUGCGAGCGUUAUCCGGAUUUACUGGGCGUAAAGAGCUCGUAGGUGGUUUGUCGCGUCGUCUGUGGAAUCCCGGGGCUUAACUUCGGGCGUGCAGGCGAUACGGGCAUAACUUGAGUGCUGUAGGGGAGACUGGAAUUCCUGGUGUAGCGGUGAAAUGCGCAGAUAUUAGGAGGAACACCGAUGGCGAAGGCAGGUCUCUGGGCAGUUACUGACGCUGAGGAGCGAAAGCAUGGGUAGCGAACAGGAUUAGAUACCCUGGUAGUCCAUGCCGUAAACGGUGGGCGCUAGGUGUAGGGGGCUUCCACGUCUUCUGUGCCGUAGCU